UGGACAGAAGGUGAAGAGGGAUGUGCCAAGAGAUAUGCUCAACACCAUCGUUCUGCAGCAAUCACUCAUACUAUUCUCUGCCUUCUAUUCAGUCAUGAGAGAGACUAACAGCAGAUUUCACGCUUGGAUACCUUUUAUCUUCAAAGAAAACAUUCCCUGCACCUUGUGUAAGACAUCAGUUCUGGAGCUUUGCCAUCUGUGGAAUUGUUUCCAUCUUCCCUGGGUUUUGGUCAAACAUGUUUUGUGAUGAGUAUAUGGUUUAAGUACUUAUCCCAUUCAUUUCAGCUUAGCAGCUCUGUCUCCUCUUUUUUUCUCCUCUUUGCCAGAAGUUUCCAUUGCAGUCCUGCGUUGGGAUAGUGACUGUGUACUAGACAUGAGGUCUUUCACAACUGUAUUGCCUCCUGAUGCUGAUGUGAGAAGUGAUGUUUUGGAACUUAACUACAAAAUGACAUAAGUUAGAUGUAUAUUUUCCAAUACGGAAACUCACCACACAAAGUUUUAUACCUUCUAUGUCAGGUUAAACCUGCCAAAGACAUGGGUUUUCAUCCAACCUGAAAAUAUUUGAUAUUUACCUGAUCAUCUGGAAUGCUGUCAUGAACCAUAU
Molecule: long non-coding RNA, 604 nt
Filed under: Anas platyrhynchos platyrhynchos (common mallard)
Lineage: Eukaryota; Metazoa; Chordata; Aves; Anseriformes; Anatidae
Description: lncRNA (ENSAPLG00000029232.1)
Source: RNAcentral